Molecule: ribosomal RNA, 824 nt
Filed under: uncultured bacterium
Lineage: Bacteria
Description: bacterial SSU rRNA
Rfam family: Bacterial small subunit ribosomal RNA
Source: RNAcentral
CCCAGCCUUGCUGGAUUACACGAGGGGCGCACGGGUGCGUUAACGCGUAAUGCAACCUACCUCUAACUGGGAAAAAGCCCCGAGAAAUCGGGGAUUAAUACUCCAUAAGGUCCAUUUAACUCAUGUUUUUUGGAUUAAAGUUCCGGCGGUUAGAGAUGGGCAUGCGUGACAUUAGUUUGUUGGUGAGGGUAACGGCUCACCAAGGCAACGAUGUCUAGGGGUUCUGAGAGGAUGAUCCCCCACACUGGUACUGAGACACGGACCAGACUCCUACGGGAGGCAGCAGUAAGGAAUAUUGGGCAAUGGACGCAAGUCUGACCCAGCCAUGCCGCGUGCAGGAUGACUGCCCUACGGGUUGUAAACUGCUUUUGCAUGGGAAGAACUCCCCCGACGUGUCGGGGGCUGACGGUACCAUGCGAAUAAGCAUCGGCUAACUCCGUGCCAGCAGCCGCGGUAAUACGGAGGAUGCAAGCGUUAUCCGGAUUUAUUGGGUUUAAAGGGUGCGUAGGCGGAAUGAUAAGUCAGUGGUGAAAUCCCCCGGCUCAACCGGGGAACUGCCAUUGAUACUGUCGUUCUUGAGUACAGUUGAGGUGAGUGGAAUGUAUCAUGUAGCGGUGAAAUGCUUAGAUAUGAUACAGAACACCGAUAGCGAAGGCAGCUCGCCAAGCUGUAACUGACGCUCAGGCACGAAAACGUGGGGAUCAAACAGGAUUAGAUACCCUGGUAGUCCACGCCGUAAACGAUGAUCACUCGCUGUUGGCGAUACACAGUCAGCGGCUAAGCGAAAGCAUUAAGGACCCACCUAUGAGAACAACCAAAAGCGA